This 459-nucleotide ribosomal RNA is filed under the name uncultured bacterium. RNAcentral describes it as "partial 16S ribosomal RNA". It matches the Rfam family "Bacterial small subunit ribosomal RNA", at positions 339 to 795 of the family's 1533-position model. The record is from RNAcentral.
CCACGGGUGGCAGCAGUGAGGAAUAUUGGUCAAUGGGCGCGAGCCUGAACCAGCCAAGUCGCGUGAGGGAGGACGGCCCUACGGGUUGUAAACCUCUUUUGCCGGGGAGCAACGGGCGUCACGUGUGGCGCCACUGAGAGUACCCGGAGACAAAGCAUCGGCUAACUCCGUGCCCGCAGCCGCGGUAAUACGGAGGAUGCGAGCGUUAUCCGGAUUUAUUGGGUUAAAAGGGUGCGUAGGCGGAUCGUUAAGUCAGUGGUCAAAUUGAGGGGCUCAACCCCUUCCCGCCAUUGAAACUGGCGCUCUUGAGUGGAAGAGAAGUAUGCGGAAUGCGUGGUGUAGCGGUGAAAUGCAUAGAUAUCACGCAGAACCCCGAUUGCGAAGGCAGCAUGCCGGCUUCCGACUGACGCUGAAGCACGAAAGCGUGGGGAUCGAACAGGAUUAGAUACCCUAGUAGUC